Molecule: ribosomal RNA, 913 nt
Filed under: uncultured bacterium
Lineage: Bacteria
Description: bacterial SSU rRNA
Rfam family: Bacterial small subunit ribosomal RNA
Source: RNAcentral
AGAGUUUGAUCAUGGCUCAGGACGAACGCUGGCGGCGUGCCUAACACAUGCAAGUCGUACGAGGACACCCCUUCGGGGGUGAGCCGAGUGGCGGACGGGUGCGUAACACGUGACCAAUCUGCCUUCGAGAGGGGGAUAACCUGGGGAAACUCGGGCUAAUACCGCAUGACGUGUCGUGCUCGCAUGGGCGUGACACCAAAGGAAGGCCUCUACUUGUAAGCUUUCGCUCGAAGAGGAGGUCGCGGCGUAUCAGCUAGUUGGUAGGGUAACGGCCUACCAAGGCUACGACGCGUAGCGGGUCUGAGAGGACGACCCGCCACAUUGGGACUGAGAUACGGCCCAGACUCCUACGGGAGGCAGCAGUGGGGAAUAUUGCGCAAUGGCCGAAAGGCUGACGCAGCGACGCCGCGUGUGGGAGGAAGCCCUUCGGGGUGUAAACCACUGUCGGGAGGGACGAAUCGCGAGCGGGCAAAUAGUCCGAGCGCUUGACGGUACCUCCAAAGGAAGCACCGGCUAACUCCGUGCCAGCAGCCGCGGUAAGACGGAGGGUGCAAGCGUUGUUCGGAAUUACUGGGCGUAAAGCGCGGGCAGGUGGUCCUUUAAGUCCUUUGUGAAAUUCCGGGGCUCAACCCCGGCUCUGCAUAGGAUACUGGAGGACUGGAGACUGGUAGAGGCGAGCGGAAUUCCUGGUGUAGCGGUGGAAUGCGUAGAUAUCAGAAGAACACCGGUGGCGAAGCGGCUCGCUGGGCCAGUUCUGACACUCAUCCGCGAAAGCGUGGGGAGCAACAGAUUAGAUACCCUGGUAGUCCACGCCGUAAACGAUGGGCACUAGAUGCCGGGCCUAUAGACGGGUUCGGUGUCGCAGCUACGCAUUAGUGCCCGCCUGGGGAGUACGGCGCAGGCUGAACUCAAA